GGAGGGUGCAAGCGUUAAUCGGAAUUACUGGGCGUAAAGCGCACGCAGGCGGUUUGUUAAGUCAGAUGUGAAAUCCCCGGGCUCAACCUGGGAACUGCAUCUGAUACUGGCAAGCUUGAGUCUCGUAGAGGGGGGUAGAAUUCCAGGUGUAGCGGUGAAAUGCGUAGAGAUCUGGAGGAAUACCGGUGGCGAAGGCGGCCCCCUGGACGAAGACUGACGCUCAGGUGCGAAAGCGUGGGGAGCAAACAGGAUUAGAUACCCUGGUAGUCCAGCCGUAAACGAUGUCGACUUGGAGGUUGUGCCCCUUGAGGCGUGGCUUCCGGAGCUAACGCGUUAAGUCGACCGCCUGGGGAGUACGGCCCGCAAGGUUA
RNAcentral lists this ribosomal RNA (371 nucleotides) under uncultured organism. RNAcentral describes it as "partial 16S ribosomal RNA". It matches the Rfam family "Bacterial small subunit ribosomal RNA", at positions 527 to 896 of the family's 1533-position model. The record is from RNAcentral.